GCCAGUUUCUUUUUGUGUCUGUGUCUUCCGGAUUUGUUCUGGGGAGCUGAGGUCUGAGAUUGCACCCUGCUCCUUCAUAUUGCCGUCUCCCCUGUUCCUCCGAAUCCGCCAGCUGCUGAGUCCCAGGUGCUUCCUGCACUGGCUGCUGUCCCACGGUGCAGGGGAUUGGGCUGGGCACCUGGGUUCCUCCGCGCCGAGGUCCCUGGGAUGGCAGAGAGGUUCGGGGCUGUGCCUCACCAAUGCUCCCCCAAUGGCGGUGGGGCCUCGGGGUGUGGCAGGGGCCUCACUGAGGGAUCCUCUUUUAUUUUGAGCUAAGGUCUCCUCUGUGGCCCAGGCUGGCCUGUGGGGCUCCAGGCUGAGGUAGUGGGGUCAGAAGUCACAGGCCACCGUACCCGUUUCCUUUUACACCUAAUGGUGGUGUAGCCCACAGGCCUGCAGUGUGUGAGUGCACCUGGCUCAACUGGGGUCCCCACUGUGGCGCCCUGUCACUUUUGUCUGAAUCAGGGGUUUUUCAGGGGCCCAACAUCUUUGAAUCCAGGAAUGAGGAAGAGGGGGGAUAUGACGGGAGCUGGCGAACCUUGAGGAAGCUGCAUGCUCCUUCUUAGUGUGACCAGACCUGGACAGGAGUGGCUGGGAUGACCAGCUUGGAUCAUGCAGGGUGAUGUUUUAACGAAAUUCAAUGCUCUUGCCACCUGGUGGACAUAUUGAGAACUGCAGCCUCCAGAGGCUCAUGAAAAUUGAGCCAAGUACUGAGACACAGUAGUAGACAAACCAAGUGCAAUCUGCUCUCUAUUGUUUUCUCCCAAUAGAAUCCCAGGCAGGUUUGAUGGGGACAGCCUCGGAGUGCAAACACUGGUAGUGGGGGAUGGAGCUGGACAUCUCAGGGAGCAGUUCUUAAUGCUGUGUGAAAAUUAGAAGCACCUGGGAAGACUGUAAAAAAUCUAGUAAAUCGAUGUGACUCACUCAAGGGAACAAUGACAUCCAUUCCCUGUGGCGGGUCUGGCAUGUGUUGGAGCUUCUGAGCCUGAAUUCCAUCAAAGUAUAAAGCUGAUUAGCUGAGCCUGUGGCAUCUGAGUGUGAUUGGCAGAGCCUGCCAUCUGCAUGUAUCUCAUUGGCUGAGCUAGAGUAUCAUCUGGAUGUAUCUGAUUGGCUGAGCCUGGGUAGCAUCUGGGUGUCUCUGAUUGGUUGUACCUGGAUAGCUCCUGGGUUGAGCCUAGGUCACACGCCUACAGGCUAAUGCAGAGGAGGCCGGGAAGGUGGGAUUGAGGCUUCUUCUGGUGCAAACCACAGGGUGGGAAGUUGUCCAAACAGGUCCUUUUGUUAGCUAGGCAUGGCGGUCCACACCUGUAAUCCCAGUACUCUAAUCCCAGUACUCUGGGAUUUGGCCUGGUGUGCCACCAGAGCUGGCUGAAUUUUAAAAUUAGUGUUUGACCACAGCUGAUUAACACCAUUCUCUAGUGAACUUCUGGAUACAGAAAUAAAUCCCAAAUAAUUUAAACAAGCUCAACGAUGAUACUAAUUAAAACCGCAGUGGCCCACAUUUAAAAUUGGGCAGAAAGCAGGGUCCAGCGUUUCCAGCCCUGGGCUUGCUGGAUUGCCCUCCAGGUCACCAGCCUCACUGUGCCUCCCACGCAGACACGAGUCAGCUGGGACCCGGUCACUGCGACAGGUGACCUUAGCUUUAACGCAGGCCUGCACAGAUCAUCCUCAAUGGAAGUCUUGUUUUAUCCCUGGUUGCCUGGUCCUACUGGCAGCCUCCGCGAGGCCCUGGGACCUGCUGUGGGGUCGUACUGCCCUCUGGUGGUCACCGAUGAGCACAGCAUCGCUGGAGCUGAGCUUGCUGCGGAAAUAAACUGGCCCGUCCUUUCAACUCAGUUCCUUCUUUACCAGCGUGAAAGAUGGCGCUCACACCACAAAUUGAUGUAUCUCAGAAACACGCAGUGUGAAUAAGACCAGAAGCCAAGGGGAACCUUUCUGAGUGCUUGCAGAUGAAGUUCUGGAUGAGGCCCAGUGGAGUGCUCUUGGUGACAGCAAUCUAGGGACGCAGAUGUAGGGGGAGGGGCUCGAGGAUGCUGACACAUUAGCCUGGGAGGCCGCAAACUGUUGGUUUCUGUCAGAACCGGCUCUUGAUGAUGCAUCAUUGUAACAGAAAAGCAGCUGGGCAUCAAGGCAAUUUAAUUUCAGGGUCAAGGGGAGGUCACCUAUUCACCUAAGACCUCUCCUGUGUGAUGUCUGAUUCGAUUUGCACUGCUAAUGGAAACCUAAAAUAGCGAGAUCCUUUCCUAAGCAAUCUACUCCCUGGCUCUAAGCAGAAUGUGUCUUGGUGAUUUUGGUGGUGGCAGGCAGGGAUGGAUGGACAGAUCAGAUUACAGAUGCCGCCAUGCUAAGCAAAGGGGCUGGGUGGGCUGGAGUCUUCACGUGACUGAUCCCUGGGUGACCCUGGUCCAGGCUCUGCCCCACUCCAGCCAGAAGCCAGCCCCUCCCAUGAGAACGUCUCCUCUCGUCCUCAAAGACGCCUGCCAGCAGAUCACUGGGAGCUGGAUGGCAACAUUACAGGCUCAUUAAGGCCACUUUGCUCUGUCCAUCCAGCCACCAGCCCUCCUGUCUGCUUCAUCAACUACCUCUGACAGUCCAACCACUGCUCCAAAACCCUGUCACUCCGUCCACUUACUCAUCCAAACAAGUGCCCACUCACUCGCCCCCUCACUCACCCACCUAGCAUCCACCCCAGCUUCCAGACAUUCACACGUGCAAACAACCCCCUACUCACACUACACGACCAUUCGGUCAUCCAUCCAGUCCAUCCAGGGUUCGAGACAUCCUGAUGUAGCCAACCAUCCAUCGAGUUAUCCUAACACUUACCUCCUGUUUAGCCAUCCAGUCUCUAAUGAGUACCGAGCCACUUUCUGAUUGCUCAACCAUCCAGUUACCCAACUCAUCAUCCACCCACCAUGCACCCAACCAUCCAUUCAUCUAUCUGUCCAAAUGGCCAUUCACCUAUACAAUCGCCCAUCUAUGGUUCCAGACACACAGUCACAUGUCACUUAAUGGCAGAGAUAUUUUGAGAAGCAUAUUGUUAGAUGAUACGGCUUGUGUCUAGAUGUCCCCCCAAAGCCUCAUGCAGUCACAGGUGGGGUUUUACAGGGGUGGCUGGAUCUAGUGUGUGUUUCUGGGGUUAGAGUGCAUGAUCACUAAAUAUUUCUGGGUAGGAUUAAGGGUGCUCCACCCUGGAUAAAAAUAUAAGGGUUGUUAAGUGUGCUCGUCACUUGCUGCUGGGAUGCUUUUGCUGAAUUCUUCAUGCCAUGAACUGUUUCUCUCUGUGAUGUUCUCUUUGAUGCCACCCUGCCUUGCAGCCAGCUGAUUGUGGACUGAAACCUCUACAAACUGUGAGCUAAACAAAUCUUCCCACCUUUAACUUUGGGUGUCAGAUAUUUUGCCUCAGCUACGAGAAAAGUAACUAAGACAGAUGAUUUUUUCCUCAUGUGGCUAUUUGGUGAUACAAUCUUACAGGGCCACUGUGUGUGCAGUCCUUGGGUGACUGCCACCCUGUGUGGUGCCGGACUUUAGUGCCAUCCUUACCCCCAUCCUAUCAUGGAUUGUGCUUGGUAUCAGGCUCUGUGCUUUGAGAUACAGAGGUGAAGUCAACCACGCCCACCGCUCAGGAGCUGAGUGCGUGUGAGGGUGUCCCUCACCGGGGACAGCUUCUAGCAAUGCUGGAGUCCAGCGCUGAGGUUCUGAUUACUGGGUCAGCUCCCAUCUCCGCUGUCACACAGAUCAGCCAACACAGCUUGGGGAAGGAGGGUACAUUUCUCCUUAAUGUCUGACCCCAUGGCCAGGCCCUCUCUGGUCCUCUAGGGCAGUAACAAGACAUCUUGGGGACCUCUCCAGACCCCCCCACCCUGCCCCCCACUGCAUCCUUGACUCCUUGCUGGGUUUUGGUAAAGUCCUAUCACUACAGUGGCAGUUGGUCAUAUUUUCUUUUCUUUUUUUUUUGUCUUUUUCCUUUUUAUCGGUACCGGGGAUCGAACUCACGACUGCCUGCUUGCAAGGCGGGCGCUUAUGCCACUGAGCUAAAUCCCCAGCCCCUUUUCCCAUUUUUUUUUAAAGUUGGUCGUAUUUUCAAAACCAACAUCUUACCUUCUUCCCUUAAUUAUAUUAGGAAUAGCUGCUGAUUAGAUUUCCUUUGGGGGACCAGCCCUGCCCAACUUUCUGCUCCCAAGAGAAAUCAAGCCUCAACCCAGCUCCACCAAUGCGGCUGUGACCCCACUGUACCAUCACAGCUUCCGUCCGCGCCCCUCGGCCUCCAGAGCGACGUGGCGGCCUAAGGCACCGGGCGCCGUCCAGGCGCCACCAGGAGGGCUCAGGAAAGGACAGAAAGCAAGAGUCUCCCCACAGUCCCCAAGGUCCAAGAGUGAUUGUCCCCCCAAAGCACAGCCUGGAGUAGAGAGUGCUUAAAUUAGAACUGCGAACCACCCCGCAUGCCAGCUUACAAAAAACCAAACCCAUCCAACAACUGAGGAAAUCAACGACACAGGCACAAGAGCGCAGUACCGGGGUAUGAGAUUCGUCCAUAAAUUAAAAGGAAAUAAGGAACCUGCUUCCUCCUCGUCGCCGGCCCCCCGCCAGCAGGCCCCUGCUCCUGCUCUGCGAGUCCACCAUGGCCCCUUCUUCCCACCGUCAAAAAUCUGAAGCCAGUGCUGGGGCCUCUGCUGCUCAGAACCCCUGUGCAGGACGGCUUCUGGGGUGGCCACUGGACACAUCCUCUGCGUGCAGGCCCCUGCCUGCUGUCCAGCGCCUGGGCUCUUGGCAGGGAGCGAGGGAUGGUGGGUGUGAUGGCAGGUGCUAUAAAUACUCCAGCUCCAGGGCGUGCCGAAGCGCCUCCAGGUCGGCGUGGCAGGAUAUCCGCCAGAAAGGCAUGUUGUGCUGGAACACAGAGCAGCGGCCACAGGUCACGCGGGGGACGAGAGGAUGGCUCUUUCCCAAACUAUGCCUUGCAGAACCUCUAGGGGACCCAUGUCCGGCCAGCGCCACCCCCGCCCCAGUGUGGCCUGGUCAUCUCAGUUCUUGUGGGGCUGAGGGGGAUGCUUGGCAGACUCUGGGCCCUGGACACACCCAGAAGGAAGUCCACCCCCUUCUACUCAUUAGGUUUGCAAAUGUUUAAGCCAUGAGAGCCCAGCCCCCAGCCUGCCUGCGGCUCCGACAGCUGGUAAUGCAGCCCUACAAGACUGGGAACUUUGGCAGUUCUUCGGGUUGAGCCUGGAGCCUUCACACUGAGCUACCUCCCCAGUCAUUUUUAAAAUUUUGAGACUAGGUCUCAAUAAAUUGUUCAGGCCAGGCUCGAA
Molecule: long non-coding RNA, 5342 nt
Organism: Cavia porcellus (domestic guinea pig)
Lineage: Eukaryota; Metazoa; Chordata; Mammalia; Rodentia; Caviidae
Exons: 2
Source: RefSeq, a predicted model, not a curated record